UGCCUGUACCAUAACCGACACAGGUGGGUAAGUAGAGUAUACUAAGGGGCGCGAGAUAACUCUCUCUAAGGAACUCGGCAAAAUAACUCCGUAACUUCGGGAGAAGGAGUGCCUUAUUCUUAAGGUUGCAAUAACAAGAUCCAAGCAACUGUUUAUCAAAAACACAGGUCUCCGCUAAGUCGUAAGACGAUGUAUGGGGGCUGACGCCUGCCCAGUGCCAGAAGGUUAAAGAAGUCGGUUAGCAAUAGCAAAGCUGGUAACUGAAGCCCUGGUGAACGGCGGCCGUAACGAUAACGGUCCUAAGGUAGCGAAAUUCCUUGUCGGGUAAGUUCCGACCCGCACGAAAGGCGUAAUGAUUUGGAUGCUGUCUCGGAGAGGGGCUCGGUGAAAUAGACUUGUCUGUGAAGAUGCGGACUACCUGCACCAGGACAGAAAGACCCUAUGAAGCUUUACUGUAACUUGAAAUUGAAAUUGGACUUUAUUCGCGCAGUAUAGGUGGGAGGCGUUGAUUAUAAUCUUGUGGGAUUAUUGGAGCCAUCAGUGAGAUACCACUCUUGUAAUGUUAGAUUUCUAACUUUGAAUCAUUAUCUGGUCAAAGGACAGUUUCAGGCGGGCAGUUUGACUGGGGCGGUCGCCUCCUAAACGGUAACGGAGGCGUACAAAGGUUUCCUCUGAACGGUUAGAAAUCGUAUCUAGAGUGUAAAGGCAUAAGGAAGCUUGACUGUGAGACCUACAAGUCGAGCAGGGACGAAAGUCGGUCUUAGUGAUCUGACGGUACUGAGUGGAAAGGCCGUCACUCAACGGAUAAAAGUUACUCUAAGGAUAACAGGCUGAUCUCCCCCAAGAGUUCACAUCGACGGGGAGGUUUGGCACCUCGAUGUCGGCUCACCGCAUCCUGGGGCGGUAGUACGUCCCAAGGGUUGUGCUGUUCGCCCAUGAAAGCGGUACGCGAGCUGGGUUCAGAACGUCGUGAGACAGUUCGGUCCAUAUCCGGUGUAGGCGCUAGAAUAUUGAGAGGAGCCUUCUUUAGUACGAGAGGACCGAGAAGGACAUACCUCUGGUGUACCAGUUAUCGUGCCAACGGUAAACGCUGGGUAGCUAUGUAUGGAGUGGAUAACCGCUGAAAGCAUCUAAGUGGGAAGCCCACCUCAAGAUAAGUAUUCUCAUCACGUAAGUGAGUAAGGUCACGGUAAGACUAACCGUUUGAUAGGCAUUAAGUGUAAGUACAGUAAUGUAUGUGCUGAGAUGUCCUAAUAGACCGAGGAC
RNAcentral lists this ribosomal RNA (1266 nucleotides) under metagenome. Its description in RNAcentral is "bacterial LSU rRNA". It matches the Rfam family "Bacterial large subunit ribosomal RNA", at positions 1639 to 2925 of the family's 2925-position model. The record is from RNAcentral.